UACGGAGGGUGCGAGCGUUGUCCGGAAUCAUUGGGCGUAAAGGGCGCGUAGGCGGCCCGGUCAGCGUGCGGUGAAAGCUCGGGGCUCAACCCCGAGUCGGCCGUGCGAACUGCUGGGCUUGAGCACUGUAGAGGCAGGCGGAAUUCCGGGUGUAGCGGUGGAAUGCGUAGAGAUCGGGAGGAACACCCGUGGCGAAGGCGGCCAUCUGGACCAGCACUGACGCUGAGGCACGAAAGCGUGGGGAGCAAACAGG
This 253-nucleotide ribosomal RNA is filed under the name uncultured bacterium. Its description in RNAcentral is "partial 16S ribosomal RNA". It matches the Rfam family "Bacterial small subunit ribosomal RNA", at positions 524 to 776 of the family's 1533-position model. The record is from RNAcentral.